AAAUGAUUAUCCACUUGCACCCGAACAUCUGCUUGUUGAAGACAAAGAUCUGUCAUAAUAUACAGUACUGGAUUGUGGGAAAAGCUCAAUACCGUAAAAAAUAAAGACAGUGUGGAACAGGUCAAACCUAGGAUAAAACACGGAAUUUAAUUCCAACUUUAAAGAAGAAGACGACUAUAUAGUACAUUAUCGAAAAUUACAGUUGUACACAGAACUAGGAAUGAAAAUUACCAAAACUACACAGGAUUUUAGGAUUUUACCUGAAAGGUUGGUUGAAAACCUACAUACAUUUCAAUAGCAAUAUGCAGAAAGUAGCAAAACAAACGACUUUGAAUAGAUUUCUUUUAGGCUGGUGUGUAACAGUGUCUGGCAAAUGCAUGGAAAAUUUACAGGCAAAAAUGAACUUAAAGCUGAUUAAUUCAGGGGACAAACUAAAACAAGUUGGUCGCUAAACCGUCCUUUAUUGGCUGCC
Molecule: long non-coding RNA, 472 nt
Filed under: Mytilus galloprovincialis (Mediterranean mussel)
Lineage: Eukaryota; Metazoa; Mollusca; Bivalvia; Mytilida; Mytilidae
Source: RNAcentral